GGUUCAGUGGUCUAGUGGUUAUGAUUUGUGUCUCACAUGAAAGUGAACCAGUAGUGUGCCCCACACAAGGUCCCCGGUUCGACCCCGGGCUGAACCA
This is a non-coding RNA of Marasmius sp. AFHP31, 97 nucleotides long. The record is from the annotation of a GenBank genome assembly. Lineage: Eukaryota; Fungi; Basidiomycota; Agaricomycetes; Agaricales; Marasmiaceae.